UGUCCUAAUUAGCACAAGUUGAUGCACCCCCAAUUCAUCAGUUGAAUCUAUACAUGGGACAAUACUACAAGUGACCAAUCUUCCAGCCUUUGCAGUGCAAUUCAUAACUAGAUCAGGCGGUGAUUUAUGUUAUGAAUUCGAGAGAUUGAAGGAACUCUGGGAAAAGCUACAACACUAGGACAAUAUUCAAUCUGCAAAGUGGUGGAACUUGCUCCUUGGAAGGCAUGGGAUAUAACAAUGAACUACUACUUCAGGCUGAGGGUAUCCUCUAAUGAUCAUUGAUGAUUAAGGGAGAUAUUUUGGAAAGGCCGGAAAAAGGUAGCUUCCAUAACAUGAAACAAGCAAUGUUCGUGUUAGAUUGUAAUUUAGUUGUUUUGGUUUUCGUAAAUCUAGGCUUGUUUAGAUUGGUCUUUCAUUUUAUUUUGUAUGUAUUUAGUAAUGUCUAGUUCUUUCUUAUUAUUUUGAUGUUGAGAUUUUUUCUAUAUCUUUCUAUAAUUUCCAAGUGUCCUGAUUGUUACUACGGUUUUCCUCCGCCAUAAGUGAGGGUUUUCAAUAAAUUUGGGAGGAGGUCGCUCAUGGACAGAUGACCUUCGUC
Humulus lupulus (European hop) is the source of this 595-nucleotide long non-coding RNA. RefSeq lists it as uncharacterized. The record is from RefSeq and is a predicted model, not a curated record. NCBI's taxonomy places the organism in Eukaryota, Viridiplantae, Streptophyta, Magnoliopsida, Rosales, Cannabaceae. The transcript is spliced from 3 exons.